This 219-nucleotide long non-coding RNA is filed under the name Panicum hallii. RNAcentral describes it as "long non-coding RNA (PHAL_LNC000283)". Lineage: Eukaryota; Viridiplantae; Streptophyta; Magnoliopsida; Poales; Poaceae. The record is from RNAcentral.
CAGGGAGGCUGACAUGGUGCCGUCGAUACACCUAGGAGCAUCUGCAGAUCCAGACGAGUUUGCGGCGGCGGAGCUACUACUCGCUUGGACCGGUCGUUUAUCUUGCCGCGCGGGUCGUCGUCGACGUGGGGAACGUCUUCGUCGCCGCAGCCUUCGUUGACGGCAGGCCCGAGCAAUGAGCGGAGAACGGGAGCUGUCCAGCAACAGCUAUGGCUAGCA